This 301-nucleotide ribosomal RNA is filed under the name uncultured bacterium. RNAcentral describes it as "partial 16S ribosomal RNA". It matches the Rfam family "Bacterial small subunit ribosomal RNA", at positions 509 to 807 of the family's 1533-position model. The record is from RNAcentral.
CAGCAGCCGCGGGAAUACGUAGGUGGCAAGCGUUGUCCGGAAUUAUUGGGCGUAAAGGGCUCGCAGGCGGUUUCUUAAGUCUGAUGUGAAAGCCCCCGGCUCAACCGGGGAGGGUCAUUGGAAACUGGGAAACUUGAGUGCAGAAGAGGAGAGUGGAAUUCCACGUGUAGCGGUGAAAUGCGUAGAGAUGUGGAGGAACACCAGUGGCGAAGGCGACUCUCUGAUCUGUAACUGACGCUGAGGAGCGAAAGCGUGGGGAGCGAACAGGAUUAGAUACCCCUGUAGUCCCUGUCUCUUAUAC